UCCAUAUCCCGAGGCUUUCUUGGUGAAAUCACCAGCUUCAAUGAAGCUGGGGAGAGACGACACUUUUUGUCGUCGUUGCAGUCGGAAGGAGAUGAUAAAAAAGGCUGAGGACGCGACAGGGCUCGCUGAUUCGCCGCCGAUGGCACCAAAACGAUCGAUCGCAACCCUGCUGGGCCCAAGUCUCUGCUUUCUUCUGAAUCUCUCCUCCAGAUAUCUGCUUCCGAUCGUUCCUUAGAUCUCUCUCUCUCUCUCUCUCUCUCCCCUCUGCCCUAAGCUUCGGAGUUAUCUUUCACCGUCGGGAAAUGGUGGCAACCACUUCGUUUUUGCCGGGAGGGUGUUAGAGGGUAGGGGGAUGGCGUCUGACUGCGGGAGUGAAGCGAUCCGACCGGCGACGGCGGAGGAGGAGGCGUCGAAGAGGAACACCGACCGCGUCUAUUUCUUGGCAUCACCUUUGACCUGCAAGAAGGGGAGUGACUGUGAGUAUCGGCACAAUCAGGGAGCCAGAAUGAACCCAAGGGAUUGCUGGUAUUGGUUAAAACGGAACUGCCUCAAUCCAAAAUGUUCAUUCCGCCAUCCGCCACUUGAUUCCUGGUUUGCAACACCGAUGCCUUCCUCAGGACCACUUCAACUUCUUCAAACUGCACCAACAACACAAAUCCCAGCUGCAUGUGCGCCUCUUAGUAAUAAUAUCAAUAAGAAAAGUUCUCCCUGCUACUAUUUCCAAAGGGGGCAGUGUUUGAAAGGUGAAUGGUGUCCUUUUAUUCACGGGCCACAUGAAUUUAGCAAUUCUGUCUUGCAGCAGGUUGCAAAAGCUUCUACAUGUCUUGCUGAACCACCAGCAACCAUUAAGGAUACACAGCAGAACAUCAAUAUGCAGCAGAAUGCUGUCAAACUUAAUCGUGAUAAACCAAAGGCAACCGGUGAAAUGCCAGUUAUAAUGCCACCUGUUAAGGUAGUCAUCAAAGACAAGAAUGCUUCUGAAGAUGACUUAUUAGAUCAUAAAGUGCUUCCACCUAAUUCAUUGAAUGGUGAACCUCCUGCACUGCCACAUAAUCCACAUAAUUUUGUUCCCACUAGCGGUGCCUGUUCUGUGAAUCAUCAGUUACAGCCUUUAGAUGAGCAACCCGUGGUUGGCAGGGAUACUGAUGAGUUAUUGCAUGAAUACUCCCCUGGUUUUGAUGUACUAGUGGAAGAUGAUAUCGAGGAUCCGGAUUUCUUUCACAAUGAAGAUAAUUUUGGAAGGGUGUCAGCUCAUAGUGGACAGCACCUGGAACCUGAAAAUGAGCGCCAUAGGGAUUACGAACCUAUGACCAGAAUUGAAAGGGAUCCAUGUAAUGGGAUAGACAAAUAUGACAAUUAUGAGCAAACACAAGGUAGAUAUGGUUGGGAUCCGAAGGGUGCUUGACAACGAGACAAUACUUGGUGGGAUGGAUUACUCAGAUUUGUGCCAUCAGCUACUUAAAAAACGAAAACUUAAUGGUUCAAGGUCUACUGGUGGUUUUGAUGGUCAUGGUGACUACUACCAGAGGGACGACUUGGAUGCUGAGAAGAGAGAUUAUGGUCGACAUUCCCGAGAUCAAAGGCAAUUUUCUCCAGAGAAAUCAAUAAGCAUUCGUCUACAAGGUAGGAUAACAUUUCCUGGGCGGUCUUCAGUAGAUAUAGCUAGCAAUUUGAACUUGGAGAAAGAGAGAGGCAGGAGACCUCGAGGCACACACUCACCAGUGAGGCGAAUGAACCACCAGACAAAACGUCCUGGGAGAAUAAAACAGCAACUAAGUGAGGAUUUCAGCAAAGACACAGCCACAAAGAGUAUUAGGAAUAAACCAACUAUAGGAGAUGACACAAACUCUCCAGAUUUUGCUGGUCCAAAAUCUAUUGCAGAGAUGAAAGGUGCAAGGAUUAAUGGACACUCCUAUGAGCGUUCAAUCAUAAGUAUCAUUGCUAAUACCAAUCUGAACAGAGUGAAGACUGGAGGAAUCAGAAGAUUGUUUAUCGUUUGAAGGUCCAAAGCCACUGAGUGACAUCCUGAACGGGAAAAGGGAGUUGGCAUACACAGACAGUGAAAUUUCUACUGGUCAGCAUGAAAACAUUCAAGGUGGUGGGGAACCUGCUGUCAAUGAUUCUGAGCUUGUAGCACCAAGUUUGCAAUCUGUUACUCCAUUAGAUGCUGAAAAAGAAACAAAUUAUACAAUUGACAACCAUAAAAGGCACAAGUUUAGAGCAGAUGAUGAUGAGAACCUAACUAAUGAAGGUCAGUCUUCAGCCAAAGCUGAUGAUGUGGAAAUCGAAGAGAACGUAGAAGAUGAACUGGAAAACUAUAAUCAGAGGGAUGAGGACUUUGGUCAUGGUGACGAAAACACAUUUCAGGGUGACGAAGAUGAGUUUGACGACGAAGAUGACUUUGCUAGAAAGGUCAGUGUCAUGAUAUCUUGAAAACUGAUGUAACAGGUAUCAGUUUUGCAUAUCCUGUUGUUGAAGAGGCCUCAAUCGGUCAAUAAUGUGAUCUUUUGAAUCUCUUGGAAGAUAAUGAUGGCACUUGCCAAUUUUUUUUUUAGAAGCACAGAGUGCCAAAGCAUUUCUCUUCUUUCUGGUUGACAUAGAGGCUCAAUGGAAUGAUAGCAUGCUGAAGAAUCACAAGUCCUCUUCAGUUGUUGAAUCUUGUUUGCUGCUCAGUUUUACCGAUUUUUGUUCUUUGGAACCUUGGUCGUGUAAGAUGCCUAGCAUUGCAAGGUAUUUGUUCUGUUUCAGUGCACCAACUAGAUAAGUAAUCAGUCACUUCUCCGAGGUAUGUUCUGCUCACCAAAAUUCUCAGAGUUGUUGAUAUGGUAAUGUAACUGUGAGAGUUCCAUCAUCCAUAUAUCUGGGUGGAGACAAUAUCGACUUCACAAUGUUGAGAAAUUGUGGCA
This is a non-coding RNA of Musa acuminata subsp. malaccensis (wild Malaysian banana), 2906 nucleotides long. The record is from RefSeq and is a predicted model, not a curated record. NCBI's taxonomy places the organism in Eukaryota, Viridiplantae, Streptophyta, Magnoliopsida, Zingiberales, Musaceae.